GAUGAACGCUGGCGGCGUGCCUAAUACAUGCAAGUCGAGCGAACGGACGAGAAGCUUGCUUCUCUGAUGUUAGCGGCGGACGGGUGAGUAACACGUGGAUAACCUACCUAUAAGACUGGGAUAACUUCGGGAAACCGGAGCUAAUACCGGAUGAUAUUUUGAACCGCAUGGUUCAAAAGUGAAAGACGGUCUUGCUGUCACUUAUAGAUGGAUCCGCGCUGCAUUAGCUAGUUGGUAAGGUAACGGCUUACCAAGGCAACGAUGCAUAGCCGACCUGAGAGGGUGAUCGGCCACACUGGAACUGAGACACGGUCCAGACUCCUACGGGAGGCAGCAGUAGGGAAUCUUCCGCAAUGGGCGAAAGCCUGACGGAGCAACGCCGCGUGAGUGAUGAAGGUCUUCGGAUCGUAAAACUCUGUUAUUAGGGAAGAACAUAUGUGUAAGUAACUGUGCACAUCUUGACGGUACCUAAUCAGAAAGCCACGGCUAACUACGUGCCAGCAGCCGCGGUAAUACGUAGGUGGCAAGCGUUAUCCGGAAUUAUUGGGCGUAAAGCGCGCGUAGGCGGUUUUUUAAGUCUGAUGUGAAAGCCCACGGCUCAGCCGUGGAGGGUCAUUGGAAACUGGAAAACUUGAGUGCAGAAGAGGAAAGUGGAAUUCCAUGUGUAGCGGUGAAAUGCGCAGAGAUAUGGAGGAACACCAGUGGCGAAGGCGACUUUCUGGUCUGUAACUGACGCUGAUGUGCGAAAGCGUGGGGAUCAAACAGGAUUAGAUACCCUGGUAGUCCACGCCGUAAACGAUGAGUGCUAAGUGUUAGGGGGUUUCCGCCCCUUAGUGCUGCAGCUAACGCAUUAAGCACUCCGCCUGGGGAGUACGACCGCAAGGUUGAAACUCAAAGGAAUUGACGGGGACCCGCACAAGCGGUGGAGCAUGUGGUUUAAUUCGAAGCAACGCGAAGAACCUUACCAAAUCUUGACAUCCUUUGACAACUCUAGAGAUAGAGCCUUCCCCUUCGGGGGACAAAGUGACAGGUGGUGCAUGGUUGUCGUCAGCUCGUGUCGUGAGAUGUUGGGUUAAGUCCCGCAACGAGCGCAACCCUUAAGCUUAGUUGCCAUCAUUAAGUUGGGCACUCUAAGUUGACUGCCGGUGACAAACCGGAGGAAGGUGGGGAUGACGUCAAAUCAUCAUGCCCCUUAUGAUUUGGGCUACACACGUGCUACAAUGGACAAUACAAAGGGCAGCGAAACCGCGAGGUCAAGCAAAUCCCAUAAAGUUGUUCUCAGUUCGGAUUGUAGUCUGCAACUCGACUACAUGAAGCUGGAAUCGCUAGUAAUCGUAGAUCAGCAUGCUACGGUGAAUACGUUCCCGGGUCU
Molecule: ribosomal RNA, 1372 nt
Filed under: uncultured bacterium
Lineage: Bacteria
Description: bacterial SSU rRNA
Rfam family: Bacterial small subunit ribosomal RNA
Source: RNAcentral